This 70-nucleotide microRNA precursor is filed under the name Microtus ochrogaster (prairie vole). RNAcentral's name for it is "microRNA 200b (ENSMOCG00000007115.1)". It matches the Rfam family "mir-8/mir-141/mir-200 microRNA precursor family". Rfam says of the family: The bounds of the precursors are predicted based on conservation and base pairing and are not generally known. The record is from RNAcentral. Lineage: Eukaryota; Metazoa; Chordata; Mammalia; Rodentia; Cricetidae.
GCCGUGGCCAUCUUACUGGGCAGCAUUGGAUAGUGUCUGAUCUCUAAUACUGCCUGGUAAUGAUGGUGGC